This 460-nucleotide ribosomal RNA is filed under the name uncultured bacterium. RNAcentral describes it as "partial 16S ribosomal RNA". It matches the Rfam family "Bacterial small subunit ribosomal RNA", at positions 338 to 795 of the family's 1533-position model. The record is from RNAcentral.
CCUACGGGAGGCAGCAGUGAGGAAUAUUGGUCAAUGGACGAGAGUCUGAACCAGCCAAGUAGCGUGAAGGAUGACUGCCCUAUGGGUUGUAAACUUCUUUUAUAUGGGAAUAAAACAGGGUAUGCAUACCCUCUUGUAUGUACCAUAUGAAUAAGGAUCGGCUAACUCCGUGCCAGCAGCCGCGGUAAUACGGAGGAUCCGAGCGUUAUCCGGAUUUAUUGGGUUUAAAGGGAGCGUAGGUGGAUUGUUAAGUCAGUUGUGAAAGUUUGCGGCUCAACCGUAAAAUUGCAGUUGAAACUGGCAGUCUUGAGUACAGUAGCGGUGGGCGGAAUUCGUGGUGUAGCGGUGAAAUGCUUAGAUAUCACGAAGAACUCCGAUUGCGAAGGCAGCUUACUGGACUGCAACUGACACUGAUGCUCGAAAGUGUGGGUAUCAAACAGGAUUAGAUACCCGAGUAGUC